RNAcentral lists this unclassified non-coding RNA (647 nucleotides) under Dalbergia bignonae. RNAcentral describes it as "partial contains 18S rRNA, ITS1, 5.8S rRNA and ITS2". The stretch from base 256 to 411 matches the Rfam family "5.8S ribosomal RNA". Lineage: Eukaryota; Viridiplantae; Streptophyta; Magnoliopsida; Fabales; Fabaceae. The record is from RNAcentral.
GAGGAUCAUUGUGGAUGCCUCAACAGACCGAGAGAGACCCGCGAACGAGUUUCACCGCCGGGGACGGGCGAAGCUGCCCAGCAGCCCGCCCCCCCCAAAUGCCGGGACCGAGGCACGCCGCGGCGGUCUCGUCCCGGCGCAACAACAACAAACCCCGGCGCGGAACGCGCCAAGGAAGCAACAACUGCAGAGCGCGCCCCGUCGGCCCGGCAACGGUGCCCGCACGGGCGACGCCGCAACACUCGAGUCCAAAACGACUCUCGGCAACGGAUAUCUCGGCUCUUGCAUCGAUGAAGAACGUAGCGAAAUGCGAUACUUGGUGUGAAUUGCAGAAUCCCGUGAACCAUCGAGUCUUUGAACGCAAGUUGCGCCCGAAGCCAUUAGGCCAAGGGCACGCCUGCCUGGGUGUCACCGAUCGCUGCCCCAGCCCCCGUGCCUCCUUACGGACACGGAGCGGGGCGAAUGCUGGCCUCCCGUGAGCACCGCCUCGCGGCUGGCUGAAAACCGGGUUCGUGGUGGAUCAAGCGCCAUGACAUACGGUGGCUGAGCGUGUUCUCGAGGCCAGUCGUGCGCGCGACCCCCACCAGUUCCUUACCCAGCGACCCGCGAGCGACGCCGAUCGCCCACGACGCGACCUCAGGUCAGGC